This 110-nucleotide small nuclear RNA is filed under the name Salvator merianae (Argentine black and white tegu). Lineage: Eukaryota; Metazoa; Chordata; Lepidosauria; Squamata; Teiidae. The record is from RNAcentral.
CUACCACCAGCUUAGUUAAUCUUAAUAAGUUUCAGGGAAGAAUACAGAGAAGAUUAGCAUGGCCCCUGCGCAAGGAUGACACACAAAUUCGUGAAGGGUUCCAUAUAAUA